GUCUCAAAGAUUAAGCCAUGCAUGUCUAAGUAUAAGCACUUGUACUGUGAAACUGCGAAUGGCUCAUUAAAUCAGUUAUCGUUUAUUUGAUUGUACUUUACUACAUGGAUACCUGUGGUAAUUCUAGAGCUAAUACAUGCGAAAAAUCCCAACUUCUGGAAGGGAUGUAUUUAUUAGAUUAAAAACCAAUGCGGACCUCCGGGCCCGUUUUCUUGGUGAUUCAUGAUAACUUUUCGAAUCGCAUGGCCUAGCGCCGGCGAUAUUUCAUUCAAAUUUCUGCCCUAUCAACUGUCGAUGGUAAGGUAGUGGCUUACCAUGGUUAUAACGGGUGACGGAGAAUUAGGGUUCGAUUCCGGAGAGGGAGCCUGAGAAACGGCUACCACAUCUAAGGAAGGCAGCAGGCUCGAAAAUUACCCAAUCCCGACUCGGGGAGGUAGUGACAAGAAAUAACGAUACGGGGUCUUAAUAGGUCUCGCAAUUGGAAUGAGUACAAUUUAAAUCCUUUAACGAGGAUCAAUUGGAGGGCAAGUCUGGUG
RNAcentral lists this ribosomal RNA (536 nucleotides) under Siphonophorae sp. CN1. RNAcentral describes it as "SSU rRNA". It matches the Rfam family "Eukaryotic small subunit ribosomal RNA", at positions 34 to 566 of the family's 1831-position model. The record is from RNAcentral. Lineage: Eukaryota; Metazoa; Cnidaria; Hydrozoa; Siphonophorae.